Molecule: long non-coding RNA, 539 nt
Organism: Dendrobium catenatum
Lineage: Eukaryota; Viridiplantae; Streptophyta; Magnoliopsida; Asparagales; Orchidaceae
Exons: 2
Source: RefSeq, a predicted model, not a curated record
AAUCAAAUUCAUACAAAGAGGAGAAAUCAAUUGGCGGCAGAUCGAAUAAACAAACUAGUUUAUGUUAUGUUUAACAAAAAAUUAAAAGAUAGAUAUCUCAAAUUGCAGAAUCAAGGAAAUAUUGAGAAUGAAAUUGAUCCUUUGCUUGUUGAUGAGUUACAAUCUGAUGAUGAAUGGGUUACUCCUAAGAAUGCUGAUGUUUAUGAAGUUGAAGUAGAAGGAGAAACUCAUGUCAAUGAAGAAGAUAAUGAAGCAACUGCCCAAGUAUAUAAAAGGAAGAAACAAAGUGAGAUUGAAGCUUAAAAAAAAUUCAAAGGAGAUAAAGGAAAAAAUAUUAUAGAUGAAGAAGAGUUUGAGGAUGACUUUGACAUUAAUUAUGAAGAUUAUUCUGAAGAUAAUCAAAGUGAUGACGAGCCUGCUUUGGGUCUUGAUCCUAAGGGGAUGUUUUAUUUUUAAAUGAGUUUAUUUUAAAUCUUGUAUUCCAGUAAUAUUAUCUUAAAACAAAUCUUCAAAUUCAUAGUUGACAUAAUAUUUUGUUA